RNAcentral lists this long non-coding RNA (514 nucleotides) under Coturnix japonica (Japanese quail). RNAcentral's name for it is "lncRNA (ENSCJPG00005006774.1)". The record is from RNAcentral. Lineage: Eukaryota; Metazoa; Chordata; Aves; Galliformes; Phasianidae.
AAUAUAUAUCUAUAUCUAUAUCUAUAUCUAUAUCUAUAUCUAUAUCUAUAUCUAUAUCUAUAUCUGUAUCUAUAUCUAUCUAUCUAUCUAUCUAUCUAUCUAUCUAUCUAUCUAUCUAUCUAUAUUACACAGGGGACUGUAUUCACUGUGAUACCUAAAGAAAUAAAGGAGGAACAUUAUACUUCCUAGCAAGGGUCAAUUUGAAAUAGUACUGUGCACCACCAGAGGAUCAAGUGUACAUUACUGCAGUCUAUGUGCUGCCAGAUGCAUGCAAUGCAAUGAUGACAUCAGCACUCAGCAGCCAGUAAUAGAAGUCUACUCACUAGAAAGCAGAAUAAACUUCCUCCACAACACAGAUCUCAAGACUUUUGAAGUCUGUACUCUUUAGUAAGUUUCAGGCAUCUUUAAUGGGAGAAGAGGAUAGCUUAGGAUCUGGCAUUACAUCCAGGUAGGGAUCAAAAACAGGUUUGAAUAUUCCUCUGAACUGUUUUCAGAGAAAUCAAGGGCUUUGUUU